This 1149-nucleotide long non-coding RNA is filed under the name Numida meleagris (helmeted guineafowl). RNAcentral's name for it is "lncRNA (ENSNMEG00000000552.1)". Lineage: Eukaryota; Metazoa; Chordata; Aves; Galliformes; Numididae. The record is from RNAcentral.
UGAUAAUCAUUAGUAUGUGAUUAAAAAAAAAGAUUGUAAUUUCAGGCAUAGGAAAAUAUGAAAAUAGCGUGUCCUAAAUGUGAGGCAAGAAACAUUAGUCUCCAGUUACUGAAGUUAGCUGUGAGAUUAAACAAACAACCAUAACAAAAGCAUGUGUUCAGUCACAACUCAUCCUUUACACGAAAAUAUCAGAGACCUGAGGACACUCACAGGCCUUCCUGGCUCUGACCAGCCUCACCUGGACUCACACCUCUGUCCUUGGGCCCAAUUUAAGCUUAGCCUCAGGCUGUCAGACCUUCUCUGAGCUGUGAGGGCCUUGCUUUGCUCUCUGCUGUAACAAGGGCUGUGGAUAGGCCCUGUGGGACUGUGCCCUGCUGGCACAGACCCGGUUUAUUGCCUUCCUCCCUGAGAGGGGCUGCCGUGUUUUUGCUGUGCUCCAACAGGUUCGAUAUCUUGGGGUUUUGUUGUUAGGAAUCUAUCUCCACUACAGAAUUCAUUGCAGAAUUUGAACCCCUUCUUAUAAAGGACUUCUGUAAGUCUAAAUUGAUUACUUAAAAAAUACUGAUUGAGGGGAAUGGGAGGAGGACUUGGGUAGGGAAGCUGCAAGUCCACCUCAGUCUCAUACCAUCUCCUGCUGCCUCAGAGGCUGAAAGCCCUAGCUUUCGAUUGCAUACACUACUUGUUUCAGAUCACACCCCGGAAGGAGCUCAUCCUUUCUUAUUGCCCUCUUUCUCACGCUCAUUCCAGUACCUUCCCACACAAAUUUCCCCAUCUCAGGCUUCCUUCUGGCUCAGCCCACUUGCCAGGUCUUAAAACUCCUCUCACUCUUGAACGCUUCCUUCCCAUGUUUUUGUCCAAUACUUCCUUCUGCCCUAAUCACAUCCUUUCUCAGCUUACAGUUUCCACACCUGCUGCAAUUAUUUGUGUGCUACAGUUGUUUCCUCUAGUUCCCACUGCCCUCAGCCUUCCACAAGCACUGCUUUUGGAGUGAAGAAACUACUAGCUCUCAGCACGCUGAUCUUCUGCUGUCCUGGGUUCUCAGAAAUCCAGACACGUUUAAUACUUAUGCAGAACUCAGGACAGAAUUCUGAGGGCAGUAAUGCAAAAAACAUUAAUCCAAAAGGAGGUGAAUGAAGUUUUUAAAGCUUG